This is a long non-coding RNA of Planococcus citri (citrus mealybug), 2237 nucleotides long. RefSeq lists it as uncharacterized. The record is from RefSeq and is a predicted model, not a curated record. The transcript is spliced from 4 exons. NCBI's taxonomy places the organism in Eukaryota, Metazoa, Arthropoda, Insecta, Hemiptera, Pseudococcidae.
UGCCUAUAUAAAUCUCGAACGAAUUAGCAAGUUUGGGAUACUUAUUCACUCUAUCGCAGUUCUUUGUAUAGCAUCAGAUAAAAAGUGAUCACGAUAAUAUGGAGAAACUUACAAUUCUCGUGAUAGGUUUAUUGCUUGUGUGCGCCGCAGCAUUUCCACGUAAAAAGGCGAUGGUGGAAUCUGACAAUAAGUGCCAUAUUUAUGGAAGAACAUUCACAGGCCAAAAGCCUUGCGAGAUGAUGUGUAAGAAAGAAUGUGAAUCCCAAACAUGCGGCGGAUAUGACAAAUGUAUGCAGUUAAAGAACGAGCCUGAAAUGUAUGGGUGCUUUUGCAAGAGUUAAUAAUCAAUAUUGUGCAUAUGCGCAUCCGGUCUAAUUCUCAACUAUUGUGACCACUGACCAGUUGGAUCUAGGCUUUUUGUCCCAUUAUAUCGCAAUAAAUCUAUUCUUAACUUGAUAAUUUUUUUUUAUAUAUAUACAUGUAAAAACCAUACAUUACGAGAUCCGUUUUAUAUAAAAUCGGGCAUUGCGAGAUCCUGAGAUCCUUUUGCCGGAUCUCGCAAGUUCUCUCAUAUGCCAUGGUACUCGUGAGAUCCGGGGGACCCUGUACACACAUUUUCAGCCGGAUCUCGUUUUACCUACUAUUUAUAUACUUAUAUACAAUUUUUGAAAAUAGAUAAACGACGCAUCUUGCGAGAUCCACCCCCAAAUCAGGUUUAGGCCAUUGGUGGAUCUCGGUUUAUGCGGAUCGCGAAAUUUAUGGCGGCAAUGCAUAGAAAGGCACUGUUUACACACUGGAACGUGCGUUCGAACGAAGUUGUAGGGUUAUUAUUUGAGUUUUUAGCAUUUUUCGAAAUUUUUUGGGUCGGAUCUCGCAAUGCCUGUGUAUAUGUCGGAUCUCGCAAUGUACUAUAAGACAGUAUAUAUAGAUAUGUCAUGUUCCCGGUUAUGAAUUUUAUAUCCAUGUGGAGUAAGGUAAGAUAAUAUAUAAAAUAUACUAUACAUUUAAGAUAUUGAGUCUUUAUGUGAGUAAGUAAUUUGAAACUUGCCAGUGUCUUCAUUUCAAAGGCGAAUUCUACAACAAAAUGUACAAACAAUGGCUAAGAAUGUGCAUGAGUCGUCCAUCCAACUAUGAUAUAAAUUGAAUUCUAAGCAAACACUUUAGCUUCACACCCAAAAUUUGUAGUUGAGCAAUAUAGAUCAAUGCUAUUGGGAUAAAAAUGAUGAAAUUUAAUUUUAAUAUCUUUUUUAUUGUCUAGGUACCUAUUACACAGUCAAUUACCUACAUACGUACGUAUCUAUGCUGUUGUUUUUUUGUAUUCUUCUGGGUAGUUAAAUUUCAUAGCAAGGUAUGUAAGUGUAUUAUAAACUUCAAGCGAACUAGCAAUUUUGAGAUACUUAAACAUUCACUCUAUCACAGUUCUGUUUCUAGUAUUAGAUAAAAAGUUCAACACAAUGGAGAAGCUUACAAUUUUCGUGAUUGGUUUAUUGAUUGUCUGCGUUACAGUAGUUCCAGAAAUUGAAUCUCGACGAAUAGACUCUAGAAUGGAAUCUAGAAUGACGUAUUGUUGGGUGGAUAGAGUAUGGUUCAACGAUGAAAAGACUUGCAUGAUGAAGUGUAAAAAAGGGUGUGAAGGAUGCGGCGGAUUUAGAAGCUGUAAGCCUAUAGCUGACGCGCCUAUGGGAACGCAUGGUUGUACUUGCCAGAAUAUGUAAUGUACCUGUGAUCACAAGCCCACAAGGUGAAAAGUGCAAGUAUUGUGACCAGCUGAUGUGGGCUGGCUUUUUGUGCUAUUAUAAUUCAUAUUAAUAUUUUACAUUUAAAUUAAUCUUCCAAUUCUUUAGGAUUAAAAUAUAUUCUUGAUUUACUUAAUUAAUCUUGAUCCUUAUUCAAUUAUUAAAGAUAUAUUAUCACAAUAUAUCCAUUCUUAACACAACCCAUUUAUUUAUGUCAUAGGGAUUCAAAUUCAUGAAUUUUUAUAUCAUUGCAGAGAAGGUAAGGUAGAUCGUAUCUGGAGCAUGUACUACUAGUGGAAGAUUAUACACCACUAUGGGCAAUUGCAUGCAGAUUUGUAAAAAAGCGUGUAACACCAUGGAAUGCGGCGGAUUUAAAUCCUGUAUGCAGAUGAAGGAGCUGCCUAUGAAUCAGUAUGGUUGUUUUUGCAUGAGUUAGGGAGCUAUGUGCAGAAGGUCAAUAAAAGAAUUGUUUAUAUCGCAAUAAAUUCAUUCUUAACUCGA